Molecule: unclassified non-coding RNA, 347 nt
Filed under: uncultured fungus
Lineage: Eukaryota; Fungi
Description: partial contains small subunit ribosomal RNA, internal transcribed spacer 1, and 5.8S ribosomal RNA
Rfam family: Eukaryotic small subunit ribosomal RNA (bases 1-129)
Source: RNAcentral
UCAAACUUGGUCAUUUAGAGGAAGUAAAAGUCGUAACAAGGUUUCCGUAGGUGAGUACAUGUGUCUAACCCUCGCCGCCUGAUCGGGUCGGUGCUAACUAAAACAGGUGAACCUGCGGAAGGAUCAUUACCGAGUAUCGGGUGCUCUCGCGCCCUGCUCCCACCCUAUGCUUAUCUAUAACCGUUGCUUUGGCGGGCCGGUGAGUCACUCACCGCCGGGCGGCGCCUGGAGAGCGCCCGCCAGAGGACCAAGCAAAACUCUGUCAACCUGUCGCAUCUGAGCACGCGAGAAUGAACAAAACUUUCAACAACGGAUCUCUUGGUUCUGGCAUCGAUGAAGAACGCAGC